This 453-nucleotide unclassified non-coding RNA is filed under the name Hevea brasiliensis (rubber tree). The record is from RNAcentral. Lineage: Eukaryota; Viridiplantae; Streptophyta; Magnoliopsida; Malpighiales; Euphorbiaceae.
GAGAGAGAAAGAGAGAGAGAGAUACCUCACUUACUAUUACCUGAACUAUAUGAUCUUCUUCGCAGGGGAAAGAGAAGGAGAGACUUGAAUUUCAGAUCAGAAAUCAAGAAAGGGUUGGUUGACGGGAAUGAAGCCUGGUCCGAGAUUUCAUAGGGCUAUAUAUCUUUGAAUUUUCACAAGAAAAGAAGAAACCCACAAGAGAAAAUUUCAAAGACAAAAGAUCAAACCUAUAUCACCUCGAGCCAAACAACAUUCCCAUCAACCUUAACCUCUCAACAUCAAAACCAACCAAUAUGAUCCAAGAACAAAAAAAUGGUAUUUAUAUUGAGGGGAAUGAAGCCUGGUCCAAAGCUUCCACUGCUUCUGCUUUCUUCUCCUCCUAUUGUGAAUGCUUAGAGCCAGCCAACAUUCCCUUCAAAAACAACCAUUAAUGAAACUUUCCCCUUUCUGCUA